GCCAUCAUGGUGUAAUGGUCAACACGCUUGACGCGUAUUCGAGAGGUCCAUGGUUCGAGUCCCAGCGAGGGCA
RNAcentral lists this transfer RNA (73 nucleotides) under Stegodyphus mimosarum. It matches the Rfam family "tRNA". From Rfam's summary of the family: Transfer RNA (tRNA) molecules are approximately 80 nucleotides in length. Their secondary structure includes four short double-helical elements and three loops (D, anti-codon, and T loops). Further hydrogen bonds mediate the characteristic L-shaped molecular structure. tRNAs have two regions of fundamental functional importance: the anti-codon, which is responsible for specific mRNA codon recognition, and the 3' end, to which the tRNAs corresponding amino acid is attached (by aminoacyl-tRNA synthetases). tRNAs cope with the degeneracy of the genetic code in two manners: having more than one tRNA (with a specific anti-codon) for a particular amino acid; and 'wobble' base-pairing, i.e. permitting non-standard base-pairing at the 3rd anti-codon position. Lineage: Eukaryota; Metazoa; Arthropoda; Arachnida; Araneae; Eresidae. The record is from Rfam by way of RNAcentral.